RNAcentral lists this ribosomal RNA (540 nucleotides) under Penicillium sp. FGTR9. RNAcentral describes it as "partial 18S ribosomal RNA". The stretch from base 178 to 331 matches the Rfam family "5.8S ribosomal RNA". Lineage: Eukaryota; Fungi; Ascomycota; Eurotiomycetes; Eurotiales; Aspergillaceae. The record is from RNAcentral.
UACUGAGUGAGGGCCCUCCGGGUCCAACCUCCCACCCGUGUUUAUUCGUACCUUGUUGCUUCGGCAGGCCCGCCUCACGGCCGCCGGGGGGCUUCUGCCCCCGGGCCCGCGCCUGCCGGAGACAAUUCUGAACGCUGUCUGAAGAAUGCAGUCUGAGCGAUUAGCAAAAUUAGUUAAAACUUUCAACAACGGAUCUCUUGGUUCCGGCAUCGAUGAAGAACGCAGCGAAAUGCGAUAAUUAAUGUGAAUUGCAGAAUUCAGUGAAUCAUCGAGUCUUUGAACGCACAUUGCGCCCCCUGGUAUUCCGGGGGGCAUGCCUGUCCGAGCGUCAUUGCUGCCCUCAAGCCCGGCUUGUGUGUUGGGCCCUGUUCCCCCGGGAACAGGCCCGAAAGGCAGUGGCGGCACCGCGUCCGAUCCUCGAGCGUAUGGGGCUUUGUCACCCGCUCUGUAGGCCCGGCCGGCGCCCGUCGACCCCCCAACCUUUUUUUUUCAGGUUGACCUCGGAUCAGGUAGGGAUACCCGCUGAACUUAAGCAUAUCA